This 438-nucleotide long non-coding RNA is filed under the name Ananas comosus (pineapple). Its description in RNAcentral is "long non-coding RNA (ACOM_LNC042778)". The record is from RNAcentral. Lineage: Eukaryota; Viridiplantae; Streptophyta; Magnoliopsida; Poales; Bromeliaceae.
GUGAGGGUUGAGACAAGACGUGAGAGUCGUUCGUAGCGGUCGAUAAAGUUUCCGACCCGAUUUGUUCGGUUUAGUUAUUAUCCCCUUUAUUUCUGUUGAUAUAACUUAGACAUCUAAUAUGGUUCAGUAUUUCAUUAUGUUUUAAUAUUCAAGAUUUCAGUUGGUUUUCUGAAUUUAAUAAAGAUUCGUGGAUUUUUGUAAGAUGGAAAGGUUUUCUACCCCUCGUGGUAGCGAGUUUCAAAAAGAAAAAGGUUUCCGUGUGGGAAACAGUUUUAAAGAGUUUUCUCGUGGUUUUUGUAACUUAGUACUUCAAAACCAGUUUCCGGAUAGGAAAUGUUUUAACUAAUAGUUGUGGUUUUAUGUUUAAACAUUGAAUGGUAAAUUUGUGGUGAAUGGUGAAUGAAUGUUGAAUGUUGUAUAUUCAUUAUGGUGGUUGUA